This 459-nucleotide ribosomal RNA is filed under the name uncultured bacterium. RNAcentral's name for it is "SSU rRNA". It matches the Rfam family "Bacterial small subunit ribosomal RNA", at positions 26 to 518 of the family's 1533-position model. The record is from RNAcentral.
AGGAUUAACGCUGGCGGCGUGCCUAACACAUGCAAGUCGAACGAGGUAGCAAUACCUAGUGGCAGACGGGUGAGUAGCGCGUGGUCAACCUACCGUUGAGUGGGGGAUAACUAGCCGAAAGGUUAGCUAAUACCGCAUACGUCUCCGAGGGGCAUCCCUUGGCGAUAAAAGGAGCAAUCCGCUCGAUGACGGGACCGCGUCCCAUUAGCUAGUUGGUGGGGUAACGGCCUACCAAGGCAUCGAUGGGUAGCUGGUUUGAGAGAGCGACCAGCCACACUGGGACUGAGAUACGGCCCAGACUCCUACGGGAGGCAGCAGUGAGGAAUUUUCCGCAAUGGGCGAAAGCCUGACGGAGCGACGCCGCGUGUGGGAAGAAGGCCUUGGGUCGUAAACCACUGUCGAAGGGAGAUAAUGACGGUACCUUGGAGGAAGCCCGGCUAACUACGCGCCAGCAGCCGC